RNAcentral lists this ribosomal RNA (490 nucleotides) under uncultured bacterium. RNAcentral's name for it is "partial 16S ribosomal RNA". It matches the Rfam family "Bacterial small subunit ribosomal RNA", at positions 30 to 507 of the family's 1533-position model. The record is from RNAcentral.
AUUGAACGCUGGCGGCAGGCCUAACACAUGCAAGUCGAACGGUAACAGGAAGCAGCUUGCUGCUUUGCUGACGAGUGGCGGACGGGUGAGUAAUGUCUGGGAAACUGCCUGAUGGAGGGGGAUAACUACUGGAAACGGUAGCUAAUACCGCAUAACGUCGCAAGACCAAAGAGGGGGACCUUCGGGCCUCUUGCCAUCGGAUGUGCCCAGACGGGAUUAGCUAGUAGGUGGGGUAACGGCUCACCUAGGCGACGAUCCCUAGCUGGUCUGAGAGGAUGACCAGCCACACUGGAACUGAGACACGGUCCAGACUCCUACGGGAGGCAGCAGUGGGGAAUAUUGCACAAUGGGCGCAAGCCUGAUGCAGCCAUGCCGCGUGUAUGAAGAAGGCCUUCGGGUUGUAAAGUACUUUCAGCGGGGAGGAAGGGAGUAAAGUUAAUACCUUGGCUCAUUGACGUUACCCGCAGAAGAAGCACCGGCUAACUCCGUG